CUUCUGGGGAGGCUUGGGCUAGGAUGCCCGACCUACUAGAGGCCCACCUAGCAGGUGAGAGAAGCGAGUCCUCUGCAAUUGUUACAGUGGAAGUUAUCCAUUUUUUAAAGGUCUCUGCUCUGUUGCUAAAGGUAAAUAUUCAGAGAAAAACCGGCGUCGGCUACAGCUGUCUUCAGGGAUCUGUGGACCUUCCAGAUAAGAGAGACUUUUCAUCUGCUUCUGCAAGGUACCUGGAGCAGUAGCGAUCUGGCAUUACCUCAAGCCAGUUUCCAUUGAGAUUAUUCAAAUACGGAAUAUUUAUCACCCAAGAUGUCCUCUGCCUAUCACACCAUCUUCUCUUGGUCUCCCAUCUGCCUAGCGAACUCGCACGUUAUCUUUCCAAGCUUAAAGUCAGCUUUAGUGACCUUCCUGGAAAGAAAGAACCACAGCUUCCCUUAAGUUACACCUUCCCAUCUAUAUAGCUCUCUCCCCAUACGCAUCACAGUGGGUCUUAAUUGUUGUUCACGUGUCCCUUUCCCUUAAAAGAGUGAGUGGUGUUUGCCCGGAGGCAUCUUAUCACUAUGAUAUCUAUUUCGAGCAGCCAGCACACAGUAGGUGCUCAAGAAAACACGAG
RNAcentral lists this long non-coding RNA (613 nucleotides) under Sus scrofa (pig). Its description in RNAcentral is "lncRNA (ENSSSCG00070003533.1)". The record is from RNAcentral. Lineage: Eukaryota; Metazoa; Chordata; Mammalia; Artiodactyla; Suidae.